RNAcentral lists this ribosomal RNA (220 nucleotides) under uncultured bacterium. Its description in RNAcentral is "partial 16S ribosomal RNA". It matches the Rfam family "Bacterial small subunit ribosomal RNA", at positions 114 to 334 of the family's 1533-position model. The record is from RNAcentral.
CGCGUGGGUAACCUGCCCUAUACACAUGGAUAACAUACUGAAAAGUUUACUAAUACAUGAUAAUAUAUAUUUACGGCAUCGUAGAUAUAUCAAAGUGUUAGCGGUAUAGGAUGGACCCGCGUCUGAUUAGCUAGUUGGUGAGAUAACUGCCCACCAAGGCGACGAUCAGUAGCCGACCUGAGAGGGUGAUCGGCCACAUUGGAACUGAGACACGGUCCAA